This 1369-nucleotide ribosomal RNA is filed under the name uncultured organism. Its description in RNAcentral is "16S ribosomal RNA". It matches the Rfam family "Bacterial small subunit ribosomal RNA". The record is from RNAcentral.
GCGGCGUGCUUAACACAUGCAAGUCGAGCGGAGAUUGCAUUUAUGUAAUCUUAGCGGCGGACGGGUGAGUAACGCGUAGGCAACCUGCCUUGCACAGAGGGAUAACACCGGGAAACUGGUGCUAAUACCACAUGAUAUCAUAACAAGGCAUCUUGAAAUGAUCAAAGGAUAAAUCCGGUGCAAGAUGGGCCUGCGUCCGAUUAGUUAGUUGGUGAGGUAACGGCUCACCAAGGCGACGAUCGGUAGCCGAACUGAGAGGUUGAUCGGCCACAUUGGGACUGAGACACGGCCCAGACUCCUACGGGAGGCAGCAGUGGGGAAUAUUGCGCAAUGGGGGGAACCCUGACGCAGCAACGCCGCGUGAAGGAAGAAGGCCUUCGGGUUGUAAACUUUUUUGAUUGGGGAAGAAAAAAAUGACGGUACCCAAGGAACAAGCCACGGCUAACUACGUGCCAGCAGCCGCGGUAAUACGUAGGUGGCGAGCGUUGUCCGGAAUUACUGGGUGUAAAGGGCGUGUAGGCGGGAUUGUAAGUCAGAUGUGAAAUUCCAGGGCUUAACUCUGGAGGUGCAUCUGAAACUAUAAUUCUUGAGUGCUGGAGAGGAAAGCGGAAUUCCUAGUGUAGCGGUGAAAUGCGUAGAUAUUAGGAAGAACACCAGUGGCGAAGGCGGCUUUCUGGACAGUAACUGACGCUGAGGCGCGAAAGCGUGGGGAGCAAACAGGACUAGAUACCCUGGUAGUCCACGCUGUAAACGAUGGAUACUAGGUGUAGGAGGUAUCGACCCCUUCUGUGCCGGAGUUAACACAAUAAGUAUCCCACCUGGGGAGUACGGCCGCAAGGCUGAAACUCAAAGGAAUUGACGGGGGCCCGCACAAGCAGUGGAGUAUGUGGUUUAAUUCGAAGCAACGCGAAGAACCUUACCAGGGCUUGACAUCCCUCGGAUAACAUAGAGAUAUGUUAGUCCUUCGGGACGAGGAGACAGGUGGUGCAUGGUUGUCGUCAGCUCGUGUCGUGAGAUGUUGGGUUAAGUCCCGCAACGAGCGCAACCCCUAUUGUUAGUUGCCAUCAUUAAGUUGGGCACUCUAACGAGACUGCCGGUGACAAAUCGGAGGAAGGUGGGGACGACGUCAAAUCAUCAUGCCCCUUAUGUCCUGGGCUACACACGUACUACAAUGGUCACUACAAAGGGAAGCAAUACCGCAAGGAGGAGCAAAUCCCCAAAGGUGACCUCAGUUCGGAUUGUGGGCUGAAACCCGCCCACAUGAAGUCGGAAUUGCUAGUAAUGGCAGGUCAGCAUACUGUCGUGAAUACGUUCCCGGGCCUUGUACACACCGCCCGUCACACCAUGAGAGUUUGCAACACCCGAAGUC